AUACGGAGGGUGCAAGCGUUAAUCGGAAUUACUGGGCGUAAAGCGCGCGUAGGCGGUUAUUUAAGUCAGAUGUGAAAUCCCUGGGCUCAACCUAGGAACUGCAUCUGAUACUGGGUAACUAGAGUUUUGGAGAGGUAAGUGGAAUUUCCGGUGUAGCGGUGAAAUGCAUAGAGAUCGGAAGGAACACCAGUGGCGAAGGCGACUUACUGGCCAAAAACUGACGCUGAGGUGCGAAAGCGUGGGUAGCAAACAGGAUUAGAAACCCUUGUAGUCC
Molecule: ribosomal RNA, 274 nt
Filed under: uncultured bacterium
Lineage: Bacteria
Description: partial 16S ribosomal RNA
Rfam family: Bacterial small subunit ribosomal RNA
Source: RNAcentral